UAUAAAAUUACCAUAACAGAUUUUUUUUUUUUUAACCAUACUAUUUCAACAUGAAGUUAUUAUACUCUUAAGGCUAAAUUACAGAAAAUUCCUAUGUAAUAACUCGCUUUUUAACUUUCCUCUUAUGACAUUUAAAAAUCUAUACUUUGCCCCAUCGUAAAAUAAAAAUUAUUCACAGAAAGGUUACGGUGUGUAAAAUGACCAUUUUGCCUCUCGUCAUUUUCGUCUUCUUCCUCAUCUUCCUUAGCCGCUCUUUCGAUCAGCCGCGAUUCCCAUAUCAAUCGGCCGCGAUUUCUCUCCAUUUUUUUCUCCACCUACUCCCCUUCUCCUCACGCACCCUCGCCGCCCCUCGAUUUCGACGAUAGUAGAGAGGAAAUCGAGGUGGGUAUUGAUGGAGAGGUAGGCAAGGGCAGCGAGCGAAGGCGAGGUGGCGGAGGAGGGCGAAGGGGAUGUGAGCGAGGGAGAGGCAGUGGAGAACGGCGAGGUGGCAAGGGGGCGAGCCGGAAGGAGGCGAAGCAACAAGAAAGAGGACAGAGGGGUAUUUUCAGCAUAAAAAAAUAUUUUAUAACGGAAUCCUAAUGGUAGGCGGUGAAGUGCACAUUUUUCAUUUUACAAGGAGGCAAAGUGUAGGUUUUUAAAUGUCAGGAGGAAAAGUGAAAAAGCAGGUUAUUACCGGAAGUUUUCUGUAAUUUAGCCUACUCUUAAUCUGACCUUUUACUAUUUUAAAUAGUUCAGCAUAACUAUAUAAUUUU
Molecule: long non-coding RNA, 752 nt
Filed under: Ananas comosus (pineapple)
Lineage: Eukaryota; Viridiplantae; Streptophyta; Magnoliopsida; Poales; Bromeliaceae
Description: long non-coding RNA (ACOM_LNC027414)
Source: RNAcentral